CCUACGGGUGGCAGCAGUCGAGAAUCAUUCACAAUGGGGGAAACCCUGAUGGUGUGACGCCGCGUGGGGGAAUGAAGGUCUUCGGAUUGUAAACCUCUGUCAUGUGGGAGCAAAUUAAAAAGAUAGUACCACAAGAGGAAGAGACGGCUAACUCUGUGCCACCAGCCCCGGUAAUACAGAGGUCUCAAGCGUUGUUCGGAAUCACUGGGCGUAAAGCGUGCGUAGGCUGUUUCGUAAGUCGUGUGUGAAAGGCGCGGGCUCAACCCGCGGACGGCACAUGAUACUGCGAGACUAGAGUAAGGGAGGGGGAACCGGAAUUCUCGGUGUAGCAGUGAAAUGCGUAGAGAUCGAGAGGAACACUCGUGGCGAAGGCGGGUUCCUGGACAUUAACUGACGCUGAGGCACGAAGGCCAGGGGAGCGAAAGGGAUUAGAUACCCGAGUAGUC
RNAcentral lists this ribosomal RNA (446 nucleotides) under uncultured bacterium. Its description in RNAcentral is "partial 16S ribosomal RNA". It matches the Rfam family "Bacterial small subunit ribosomal RNA", at positions 338 to 795 of the family's 1533-position model. The record is from RNAcentral.